GGUCAAGUGAAGAAGCGCAUACGGUGGAUGCCUUGGCAGUCAGAGGCGAUGAAAGACGUGGUAGCCUGCGAUAAGCUUCGGGGAGUCGGCAAACAGACUUUGAUCCGGAGAUCUCUGAAUGGGGGAACCCACUCAGCAUAAGCUGAGUAUCUUGUACUGAAUACAUAGGUGCAAGAGGCGAACCAGGGGAACUGAAACAUCUAAGUACCCUGAGGAAAAGAAAUCAACCGAGAUUCCCUUAGUAGUGGCGAGCGAACGGGGACUAGCCCUUAAGUGGCUUUGAGAUUAGCGGAACGCUCUGGAAAGUGCGGCCAUAGUGGGUGAUAGCCCUGUACGCGAAAAUCUCUUAGUCAUGAAAUCGAGUAGGACGGAGCACGAGAAACUUUGUCUGAAUAUGGGGGGACCAUCCUCCAAGGCUAAAUACUACUGACUGACCGAUAGUGAACCAGUACCGUGAGGGAAAGGCGAAAAGAACCCCGGAGAGGGGAGUGAAAUAGAACCUGAAACCGUAUGCGUACAAGCAGUGGGAGCCUACUUUGUUAGGUGACUGCGUACCUUUUGUAUAAUGGGUCAGCGACUUAUAUUCAGUGGCGAGCUUAACCGAAUAGGGGAGGCGUAGCGAAAGCGAGUCUUAAUAGGGCGUUUAGUCGCUGGGUAUAGACCCGAAACCGGGCGAUCUAUCCAUGGGCAGGUUGAAGGUUAGGUAACACUGACUGGAGGACCGAACCGACUACCGUUGAAAAGUUAGCGGAUGACCUGUGGAUCGGAGUGAAAGGCUAAUCAAGCUCGGAGAUAGCUGGUUCUCCUCGAAAGCUAUUUAGGUAGCGCCUCAUGUAUCACUGUAGGGGGUAGAGCACUGUUUCGGCUAGGGGGUCAUCCCGACUUACCAAACCGAUGCAAACUCCGAAUACCUACAAGUGCCGAGCAUGGGAGACACACGGCGGGUGCUAACGUCCGUCGUGAAAAGGGAAACAACCCAGACCGUCAGCUAAGGUCCCAAAGUUAUGGUUAAGUGGGAAACGAUGUGGGAAGGCUUAGACAGCUAGGAGGUUGGCUUAGAAGCAGCCACCCUUUAAAGAAAGCGUAAUAGCUCACUAGUCGAGUCGGCCUGCGCGGAAGAUGUAACGGGGCUCAAACCAUACACCGAAGCUACGGGUAUCACUUAGGUGAUGCGGUAGAGGAGCGUUCUGUAAGCCUGUGAAGGUGAGUUGAGAAGCUUGCUGGAGGUAUCAGAAGUGCGAAUGCUGACAUGAGUAACGACAAUGGGAGUGAAAAACUCCCACGCCGAAAGACCAAGGUUUCCUGCGCAACGUUAAUCGACGCAGGGUUAGUCGGUCCCUAAGGCGAGGCUGAAAAGCGUAGUCGAUGGAAAACAGGUUAAUAUUCCUGUACUUCUAGUUAUUGCGAUGGAGGGACGGAGAAGGCUAGGCCAGCUUGGCGUUGGUUGUCCAAGUUUAAGGUGGUAGGCUGAGAUCUUAGGUAAAUCCGGGAUCUUAAGGCCGAGAGCUGAUGACGAGUUGCCAUUAGGCGACGAAGUGGUUGAUGCCAUGCUUCCAAGAAAAGCUUCUAAGCUUCAGAUAACUAGGAACCGUACCCCAAACCGACACAGGUGGUUGGGUAGAGAAUACCAAGGCGCUUGAGAGAACUCGGGUGAAGGAACUAGGCAAAAUGGCACCGUAACUUCGGGAGAAGGUGCGCCGGUGAGGGUGAAGGACUUGCUCCGUAAGCCCAUGCCGGUCGAAGAUACCAGGCCGCUGCGACUGUUUAUUAAAAACACAGCACUCUGCAAACACGAAAGUGGACGUAUAGGGUGUGACGCCUGCCCGGUGCCGGAAGGUUAAUUGAUGGGGUUAGCUAACGCGAAGCUCUUGAUCGAAGCCCCGGUAAACGGCGGCCGUAACUAUAACGGUCCUAAGGUAGCGAAAUUCCUUGUCGGGUAAGUUCCGACCUGCACGAAUGGCGUAACGAUGGCGGCGCUGUCUCCACCCGAGACUCAGUGAAAUUGAAAUCGCUGUGAAGAUGCAGUGUAUCCGCGGCUAGACGGAAAGACCCCGUGAACCUUUACUAUAGCUUUGCACUGGACUUUGAAUUUGCUUGUGUAGGAUAGGUGGGAGGCUUUGAAGCGUGGACGCCAGUUCGCGUGGAGCCAUCCUUGAAAUACCACCCUGGCAACUUUGAGGUUCUAACUCAGGUCCGUUAUCCGGAUCGAGGACAGUGUAUGGUGGGUAGUUUGACUGGGGCGGUCUCCUCCUAAAGAGUAACGGAGGAGUACGAAGGUGCGCUCAGACCGGUCGGAAAUCGGUCGUAGAGUAUAAAGGCAAAAGCGCGCUUGACUGCGAGACAGACACGUCGAGCAGGUACGAAAGUAGGUCUUAGUGAUCCGGUGGUUCUGUAUGGAAGGGCCAUCGCUCAACGGAUAAAAGGUACUCCGGGGAUAACAGGCUGAUACCGCCCAAGAGUUCAUAUCGACGGCGGUGUUUGGCACCUCGAUGUCGGCUCAUCACAUCCUGGGGCUGAAGCCGGUCCCAAGGGUAUGGCUGUUCGCCAUUUAAAGUGGUACGCGAGCUGGGUUUAGAACGUCGUGAGACAGUUCGGUCCCUAUCUGCCGUGGACGUUUGAGAUUUGAGAGGGGCUGCUCCUAGUACGAGAGGACCGGAGUGGACGAACCUCUGGUGUUCCGGUUGUCACGCCAGUGGCAUUGCCGGGUAGCUAUGUUCGGAAGAGAUAACCGCUGAAAGCAUCUAAGCGGGAAACUUGCCUCAAGAUGAGAUCUCACUGGAGCCUUGAGCUCCCUGAAGGGCCGUCGAAGACUACGACGUUGAUAGGUUGGGUGUGUAAGCGCUGUGAGGCGUUGAGCUAACCAAUACUAAUUGCCCGUGAGGCUUGACCAU
Molecule: ribosomal RNA, 2891 nt
Filed under: Pseudomonas donghuensis
Lineage: Bacteria; Pseudomonadati; Pseudomonadota; Gammaproteobacteria; Pseudomonadales; Pseudomonadaceae
Description: 23S ribosomal RNA
Rfam family: Bacterial large subunit ribosomal RNA
Source: RNAcentral